This 254-nucleotide ribosomal RNA is filed under the name uncultured bacterium. RNAcentral's name for it is "partial 16S ribosomal RNA". It matches the Rfam family "Bacterial small subunit ribosomal RNA", at positions 524 to 776 of the family's 1533-position model. The record is from RNAcentral.
UACGUAGGGGGCAAGCGUUAUCCGGAUUUACUGGGUGUAAAGGGAGCGUAGGUGGCAUAGCAAGCCAGAAGUGAAAACCCGGGGCUCAACCCCGCGGAUUGCUUUUGGAACUGUUAAGCUGGAGUGCAGGAGGGGCAGGCGGAAUUCCUAGUGUAGCGGUGAAAUGCGUAGAUAUUAGGAGGAACACCGGUGGCGAAGGCGGCCUGCUGGACUGUAACUGACACUGAGGCUCGAAAGCGUGGGGAGCAAACAGG